AGUGAACGCUGGCGGCAGGCCUAACACAUGCAAGUCGAGCGGCAGCGGGUCCCCGCGAGGGGAUGCCGGCGAGCGGCGGACGGGUGAGGAACACAUCGGAAUCUGCCUGGUUGUGGGGGAUAACGUAGGGAAACUUACGCUAAUACCGCAUGCGACCCUGAGUCGACGGACUGGGGUGAAAGUGAGGACCUUCGGGCCUCACGCGACCAGAUGAGCCGAUGU
This 222-nucleotide ribosomal RNA is filed under the name uncultured bacterium. Its description in RNAcentral is "partial 16S ribosomal RNA". It matches the Rfam family "Bacterial small subunit ribosomal RNA", at positions 29 to 236 of the family's 1533-position model. The record is from RNAcentral.